GAUGAACGCUGGCGGCGUGCCUAAUACAUGCAAGUCGAGCGAACGGACGAGAAGCUUGCUUCUCUGAUGUUAGCGGCGGACGGGUGAGUAACACGUGGAUAACCUACCUAUAAGACUGGGAUAACUUCGGGAAACCGGAGCUAAUACCGGAUAAUAUUUUGAACCGCAUGGUUCAAAAGUGAAAGACGGUCUUGCUGUCACUUAUAGAUGGAUCCGCGCUGCAUUAGCUAGUUGGUAAGGUAACGGCUUACCAAGGCCACGAUGCAUAGCCGACCUGAGAGGGUGGUCGGCCACCCUGGAACUGAGACACGGUCCAGACUCCUACGGGAGGCAGCAGUAGGGAAUCUUCCGCAAUGGGCGAAAGCCUGACGGAGCAACGCCGCGUGAGUGAUGAAGGUCUUCGGAUCGUAAAACUCUGUUAUUAGGGAAGAACAUAUGUGUAAGUACCUGUGCACAUCUUGACGGUACCUAAUCAGAAAGCCACGGCUAACUACGUG
Molecule: ribosomal RNA, 497 nt
Filed under: uncultured bacterium
Lineage: Bacteria
Description: partial 16S ribosomal RNA
Rfam family: Bacterial small subunit ribosomal RNA
Source: RNAcentral